This 459-nucleotide small RNA is filed under the name Histoplasma capsulatum. Its description in RNAcentral is "hypothetical RNA". RNAcentral also lists the same sequence under 1 other name. The record is from RNAcentral. Lineage: Eukaryota; Fungi; Ascomycota; Eurotiomycetes; Onygenales; Ajellomycetaceae.
GAGGCAACAGACAUUCAAUAAAUGCUGGAACACAUAAAAGCUUACCUGCUGCGGCUCUGAAAGAGACUCGCCUCCAACAUGAAGCGGUGGCAGAUGGGUGCAGGGCAGCGCCACCAGGAGUAAGGAGACGGCGUUCACGAGCAUAUCAGGAGAUUGUGGAUUUAGCAUAUCUCCCAGAGUUAAAGCAGCAAGUACAUUGUCAAAGACAAUGUUUAUUCUCAACGCAAGCAAGACUGUCUGGAAUGUAAGGAGGCACAUUUUAUCCUGUUUUUUCAAGCGACGAGUUAAACUACGGAGAUUCUAGCUGCAUUGUUUCUAAGCUAUUAUUUGUUAUUUCUGAUUGUCGAGCAAGCAGCAUCGCUCCAUUGUGAAGAAAAAAGAGUAGGUUGGGAGGGAGGGAAAUAUGAAGCCCUACUCACUAGGCACUCCAUGCCAUUUUCCAGGUGUUUUGAAACAAGU